This 931-nucleotide ribosomal RNA is filed under the name Bipolaris maydis (southern corn leaf blight pathogen). Its description in RNAcentral is "partial large subunit ribosomal RNA". It matches the Rfam family "Eukaryotic large subunit ribosomal RNA", at positions 24 to 968 of the family's 3401-position model. Lineage: Eukaryota; Fungi; Ascomycota; Dothideomycetes; Pleosporales; Pleosporaceae. The record is from RNAcentral.
UUACCCCGCUGAAACUUAAGCAUAUCAAUAAGCGGAGGAAAAGAAACCAACAGGGAUUGCCCUAGUAACGGCGAGUGAAGCGGCAACAGCUCAAAUUUGAAAUCUGGCUCUUUCAGAGUCCGAGUUGUAAUUUGCAGAGGGCGCUUUGGCUUUGGCAGCGGUCCAAGUUCCUUGGAACAGGACGUCACAGAGGGUGAGAAUCCCGUACGUGGUCGCUAGCUAUUGCCGUGUAAAGCCCCUUCGACGAGUCGAGUUGUUUGGGAAUGCAGCUCUAAAUGGGAGGUAAAUUUCUUCUAAAGCUAAAUAUUGGCCAGAGACCGAUAGCGCACAAGUAGAGUGAUCGAAAGAUGAAAAGCACUUUGGAAAGAGAGUCAAACAGCACGUGAAAUUGUUGAAAGGGAAGCGCUUGCAGCCAGACUUGCUUGCAGUUGCUCAUCCGGGCUUUUGCCCGGUGCACUCUUCUGUAGGCAGGCCAGCAUCAGUUUGGGCGGUGGGAUAAAGGUCUCUGUCACGUACCUCUCUUCGGGGAGGCCUUAUAGGGGAGACGACAUACCACCAGCCUAGACUGAGGUCCGCGCAUCUGCUAGGAUGCUGGCGUAAUGGCUGUAAGCGGCCCGUCUUGAAACACGGACCAAGGAGUCUAACAUCUAUGCGAGUGUUUGGGUGUCAAGCCCGAGCGCGUAAUGAAAGUGAACGGAGGUGGGAACCCGCAAGGGUGCACCAUCGACCGAUCCUGAAGUUUACGGAAGGAUUUGAGUAAGAGCAUGGCUGUUGGGACCCGAAAGAUGGUGAACUAUGCUUGAAUAGGGUGAAGCCAGAGGAAACUCUGGUGGAGGCUCGCAGCGGUUCUGACGUGCAAAUCGAUCGUCAAAUUUGGGCAUAGGGGCGAAAGACUAAUCGAACUAUCUAGUAGCUGGUUCCUGCCGAAGUU